UAAACUCCUUGCAAGGACUUUCAGCAAAUUCUCUCCCAUCAGGAGAGACUCGAUUUAUGGCACGGUAAAGUGUCAAAUGGUGCCCCGUAAGUCAAAGCUUAACUCCAA
Molecule: long non-coding RNA, 108 nt
Organism: Corvus hawaiiensis (hawaiian crow)
Lineage: Eukaryota; Metazoa; Chordata; Aves; Passeriformes; Corvidae
Exons: 3
Source: RefSeq, a predicted model, not a curated record